Molecule: ribosomal RNA, 218 nt
Filed under: Proteus vulgaris
Lineage: Bacteria; Pseudomonadati; Pseudomonadota; Gammaproteobacteria; Enterobacterales; Morganellaceae
Description: partial 23S ribosomal RNA
Rfam family: Bacterial large subunit ribosomal RNA
Source: RNAcentral
UGUUCGGGUUGUCAUGCCAAUGGCAUUGCCCGGUAGCUAAGUGCGGAAGAGAUAACCGCUGAUAGCAUCUAAGCGGGAAACUUGCCUCGAGAUGAGUCUUCCCUGUCACCUUGAGUGACCUAAAGGAACGUUUAAGACUUAGACGUUGAUAGGCUGGGUGUGUAAGCGUAGCGAUACGUUGAGCUAACCAGUACUAAUGAAACGUGAGGCUUAACCUG